CAGUCAGUCGUUGUUAAUCGACGGCAGUGACUGUAUACGACUCACUAUAGGGCGAUGGAAUUAGCGGCGCGAUCGCCUUGUGCCAGCAGCCGCGGUAAUUCCAGCUCCAAUAGCGUAUAUUAAAGUUGUUGCAGUUAAAACGCUCGUAGUCGGAUUUCGGGGCGGGCCGACUGGUCUGCCGUUGGGUAUGCACUGGCCGGCGCGUCCUUCCUUCCGGAGACCGUGCCUUCUCUUAACUGGGCGGGUUCGGGAGACGGAACGUUUACUUUGAAAAAAUCAGAGUGUUUCAAGCAGGCAGCUCGCUCUUGCAUGGAUUAGCAUGGGAUAAUGAAAUAGGACUUUGGUGCUAUUUUGUUGGUUUCGAACACCGAAGUAAUGAUUAACAGGGACAGUCAGGGGCACUCGUAUUCCGCCGAGAGAGGUGAAAUUCUCAGACCAGCGGAAGACGAACCACUGCGAAAGCAUUUGCCAGGGAUGUUUUCACUGAUCAAGAACGAAAGUUAGGGGAUCGAAGACGAUCAGAUACCGUCGUAGUCUUAACCAUAAACCAUGCCGACUAGGGAUUGGAGGAUGUUCCAUUGUGACUCCUUCAGCACCUUUCGGGAAACUAAAGUCUUUGGGUUCCGGGGGGAGUAUGGUCGCAAGGCUGAAACUUAAAGGAAUUGACGGAAGGGCACCACCAGGAGUGGAGCCUGCGGCUUAAUUUGACUCAACACGGGGAAACUUACCAGGUCCAGACAUUGUGAGGAUUGACAGAUUGAGAGCUCUUUCUUGAUUCGAUGGGUGGUGGUGCAUGGCCGUUCUUAGUUGGUGGAGUGAUUUGUCUGGUUAAUUCCGUUAACGAACGAGACCGCAGCCUGCUAAAUAGUUACGUGAACUCUUCGUUCGCGGCCAACUUCUUAGAGGGACAACUUGUCUUCAACAAGUGGAAGUUUGCGGCAAUAACAGGUCUG
RNAcentral lists this ribosomal RNA (953 nucleotides) under uncultured eukaryote. RNAcentral describes it as "SSU rRNA". It matches the Rfam family "Eukaryotic small subunit ribosomal RNA", at positions 490 to 1464 of the family's 1831-position model. The record is from RNAcentral.